Long non-coding RNA from Notothenia coriiceps (black rockcod), 1191 nucleotides. RefSeq lists it as uncharacterized. The record is from RefSeq and is a predicted model, not a curated record. Lineage: Eukaryota; Metazoa; Chordata; Actinopteri; Perciformes; Nototheniidae. The transcript is spliced from 2 exons.
AUUGAUUGUUUUGUAAUCUUUUGCGUUUCAGGUGUAUUCGUCCAUCUAUUUCUGUGGUCACGUAUUCUUCCUCGUAGGCUAUUUAGCCAUGCCACAUCUCCGAAAGGCGCUGGUGCCUAAGAAAGAACGGAGCGAGAUAAAACAGGAUUAAAACUUGGUACGUCAUGGUCCAACUUAGGCUAAAUAUCCACUGAAGGGAACUGCGACUUUCGAUGAGCAGAAUGGAACAUAUUUUAAGGCCUUUCGUAAUAUAUAUGUCCAUGAAAAAAUAAAUUUCUAUAUAUUUUUGUGUUUUAAACGGGAAGGGUGUUUUUUAUAAACAUUCGGAGAAAUGUUUACAGGAAAUUACCAUCGUGCCACAUGGGGUAAUUGUGAGCCAAUCAGGAGCGAUUUCCUGUUUUUUUUGUUUUUGUAAAGAAACGUUGGACUUGUUGUUGAACUUGAGAGACUUUCAUGCUGUCGACACAGAAUUGCACUCACCAGUAACGGGUUCAGAGUCAACGGCUCCGAUUUGUUUUUUGUUCUCAUUUCUCUCUCACGUCUACCGCCCACAUUUUGCAGCAGCGAGACUUCACAGAAGGUUAAAGCACAGCGCCAGCACAUGUGGCUUUUUCUGAUGUAAUAAAACAAAAAUGCUUUGUGCAAAAAGACCUAAUUAUAAUAAUAAUGAUAUUAAUAAUAAUUAUCAGGAGGUGAUAUUUCUUGAAAAUGGCUGCCAGUGGUUAUACAAGCACUGUAAAUCACACACUGUACACUAAUCCCCAACUCAAAAUGGCCUUGUAUUAAUGAAUGUUUUUACAGUACAUUUGUUUUGUUUUUUGAUUUGUGAUGGGGAUAUAAAAAAAACUUGAUUUUAUAGAGUUUUAAUAUGAAAAAAAGAACAUUUUGUAGCUUUGGGAUAAUAUUUCAUGAGAUAACUUGCAUUGUUCCCUUACUUUUUCUCUGGUUUGAUGUUCCUUGAGGUUUUCUUUUGUUCUAUGUUUCCUCCUCUCCUUCUCUUCAGUCUCCUCCACUCCUCUGUCCUUGAGCUCGGAAAUGCACAGAUGCAAAAGUGAAACAUUGCAGAAGACGACUUGAACACUGCCCAAUAACACGCUCACUCCUGUCAACCCUCUGCAUUCAUCCUAUCUCCAUAUGAUCUCCAUAUGGUGUUUUCAAAAUGACGAAUAUGUGAACUGGAAGCAACGGAAA